RNAcentral lists this long non-coding RNA (1195 nucleotides) under Homo sapiens (human). Its description in RNAcentral is "long independently transcribed non-coding RNA 1013, transcript variant 10 (LINC01013)". Lineage: Eukaryota; Metazoa; Chordata; Mammalia; Primates; Hominidae. The record is from RNAcentral.
CAAUGCCCUUUCCUGUGACCACUAUCAAGAACUGCUCAGGAUUCCUGCCAGCCUGUUAGCCUUUAUCGUUCAGUCAUUUUAGACCUCAAAAAGAACAUUCCAUCAAGGGAUCAGGUUCUAUCAUCUCACUGGAAUGCAAUUUAAGACAUCAUCUCCAGAAAACUGUGCUAGUUGGCAUCCAGCAGUGCCCAAGUAUUAUUUAACCCACUAGAACCUGUGACUGCAUCAGCUUUAUAUCCUGGACCUCAGCCUGGAACAAAGGAGAGCUACACUUGGAUACUAAACACAAGUGGUCUGGAUAGAUUAUGCUGGGAAAAGAAGCCUGGAGCAGGCAGUACAGUGGGAGAACAAGGAGAGAAUGGAGUUGCAGCAGACUGCUCAGGAAUUGUACAUCACCAGUAGCUUCUGUCUCAGCUAAGUGUGGGAGACUGAUACUGAUGAGCCAUUAACAAUGGUGGAGAUUCUGAAUCACUGAAGCACUUGAUAAAAGAAAUGUCGUGGGUGAUGUGAAAAUCUACAUAUGCCCAUGAGAGUAUAUUGAGUUUGUAAGUGUUGUUGCUUAGUGUGUCACAGAGAAGUUUAUAAGAAACUAUUUUGGAGUAAGAAACAACACAGAAGAACACAGUUUCAGCCUGAAAUGGCUUAUUUAGCCACUGACCAUCAGAAACAAUUACUUUUUACCUUAACCUAGAUUUGUAAUAGCAGGAUGCAUUGAAUUCCUUCAUUGAAGUGAAACCUUAGCAAAUCUUUAAGUAGUACUCUAAAGUGACAAAAGGUGUUUACAUUUACUAAUGUAAAUUUCUUGUGGAGAUAAAGUUUUUAUUCUUCUUGGGUCUCAAGACUGCUCAAGAAGGAACCAUCGUUUGUUCUACACUGCUCUGUUCUAAAUGUUUGUUCCCCCAAUAUUCAUAUGUUGAAAUUCUAACCCCCAAGGAGAUAGUAUUAGGAGGUGGGGCCUUCGGGACAUGAUAAGGUCAUGAGGAUGAAGCCCUCAAGAAUAAGAUUCAUUGCCUUAUAAAGAAAAACCAGAAAGAUCCCUCAUUUCUUCAAUCAUAAGAAGACACAUGAGCAAGAAGACGGCCAGCUAUGAAGCAGGUCGUGGGCCCUCGCCAGACACUGAAUCUGCCAACACUUUGAUCUUGGAUUUCCUAGCCUGCAGAACUGUGAGAAAUAAAUUUCUUUUCUUUAUAAUCCA